RNAcentral lists this unclassified non-coding RNA (308 nucleotides) under Hevea brasiliensis (rubber tree). Lineage: Eukaryota; Viridiplantae; Streptophyta; Magnoliopsida; Malpighiales; Euphorbiaceae. The record is from RNAcentral.
GUUGGAAAUCAUGAAUACAGCAUUAGAAUAAUGAUUUUCUUUGCUGCUGACAAAGUAGGUCUAUCAGCUAAGUAAAGUUUUUUCACUUGUCAAUGUAAUAUCGUUAGUUGAUUGUCCAGGACAUAAGCAACUAAGCUGAUGCAGAAUUUGCUAGGCAUUUUAGGACUGCUACCUACUUUAGGGGAAAAAAUGUAGGAAUCAAAAUUUUAUUCUAUUUAGGAAUUUCGUGUUGAUUUGUGAUUCCUAAUUAGUAUUAGAUUUAGGGUUCCUAAUCCUAAUAUUAGUAGGAUUACAAAUACUCUACAUAU